Molecule: non-coding RNA, 1807 nt
Organism: Zootoca vivipara (common lizard)
Lineage: Eukaryota; Metazoa; Chordata; Lepidosauria; Squamata; Lacertidae
Source: RefSeq, a predicted model, not a curated record
CAGUAAUGAAUGCCGUUGUUUCCCAAACUUGGGUCUCGGCUGUUUUUGGACUACAACUUCCAUCAUUCCUAGCUAGCAGGACCGGGGUUAAGUUUGGGAAACCCCUGGAUGAAUCAGAUGGGUUUAUGAGGUGUGGAAGUCUGCUUCCCUACCUAAUACGCCUUGAAGAAAGUUAAGCAGAUCAGCCCUGUGGUCCGAAUUGUUAAGAGAAAACAGAACAUCUGUGGAGAGUACACUCUCUGGUGACUUUUCCUCCAUCCCAUUCAAAGCUGCUGUAUUUCUCGGGCACAUAUGCCUCAAAGAAGCCACUGCAAUACUGAAAGGAACUGUGGACCAAAGACUCAAAUUAUAAAACCAACCCAGUUCACAACAGCCCAAAAGCUACUGAUGUUGCCUUGCCGGAGAAGGAAAGCCAUAAUUAUUUCUCCUGGAAAGCUGCCAUUGGAUACAAACUCGAGGAAAACAUCGUGUUUUAAUUUAUUUCUCGUCAAAUCUGGUGCAGCCAGCAAAUAGCCAAGACAUCUCUCCGGGCAUCAUAAUGUUCUACAUAUCUCUACCGUGUCUCUCCUCUUUCCACUCUGGUCAUCUUUUUGCAAGCAAACAAACAAAAGCUCCUGGCGACUAUUUCAACAUCCUGACCAAGUGUGAGAUGCUGAAGUUCCCAACCAUUAUUGUUCAAGCGGACGGCUCGUUCUGCACUCAAAAGAACAUGGCUGGCUCCUACCAUGCAAUUAACAGUAGCUGGCCAGUGACAUCUCUCCCAUCCUCUCCUCCCUACUGUGUUAGGGGGCCGACUAAGAGCCAAUGAGAAUCCAAAAAGAGCAUCACACUGCCUGGCUUGGUGCUCUCAGGAAGGCUUCCAGAAUACUUAUAUCUGCUGUGAGAGCCGCUAUGGUGGAAAACCUGGCCAAAAAUUGUAAGAAAUAUAGCCGCCAAAGGACAACAACAACAUCUGUGUUUUCAUCUAUCACUUUGAACACUUGUCUCAUUAUCCCAGACGCAAGAAAACUUUUACAAAAUGUCAGUUAAAUUUUUAUUACAUUACCCGGAGGCUUGUUUUGUGGUACAUAGUCUGAAGCUUUUGUCUAUUGCAUUUUAUUUAUUUAUUUGAUAAACUUUAUAUACUGCUUGAUUGUAAAAACAACAACAACAACCCAACAACAUCAAAUGGGGCUGAUAUCUCACCUUUCUUCCAAGGCUCUCCAGAUGGAGCCCACAGUCCCCCUGUUCCCCAUUUUAUCCUUCGAGCAACCCUGUGGGUUAGGUCAGGUCAAAAGAGGGUGACUGGCUAAAGUUCACCUAGUGAGGAGCAUUGCUGAUGGGAGUUUCAAACUGGUCUGCCCAGUCCCAGGCUGACAUUCUAACCACACGACAGCAGGCAUCACACUGGAAUGUGUAUUAUAUAUUGAAACAUGCUGCAUCCUUAAAAAUAUCAUUUCGCACACACAUUUGCCACGUGAACGAGGAGAGUGCAAUGAAGGGAAAUCUUUCAGGAGGAAGAACUGAAAUGAUAUGCAGCAUGAAGCGCUAUGGUCUCUGCAGGGAAAACUUUACAGCUUGAUCCUGCGUCAAUGCAUAAACUAACCCCAAGGGUUCAUAAGCACCAGUGCUGAACAACUUCAGUCCCAGGUACCAUUAGGAGCCAAUUUGUAGGAGCUGAGGUUCCUUUGCCGCCCCACCCAACAUAGUUGGGGGAGCUAGGUGCUCCAAAAGUUGGUGGGCAUUGCCAUUAAAAUGGUGUGUGUGUGUCACACCAUGUGAUUAUGUGGGGCAGGGCUUACCAGCCCCCCCCCAAUAUUUUAUUCAA